Molecule: transfer RNA, 362 nt
Filed under: uncultured Microcystis sp.
Lineage: Bacteria; Bacillati; Cyanobacteriota; Cyanophyceae; Chroococcales; Microcystaceae
Description: partial 16S-23S ribosomal RNA intergenic spacer
Rfam family: tRNA (bases 135-208)
Source: RNAcentral
AGGGGAGACCUAAUUCAGGUAGGAGACGAAAAAAAAGUAGUCCCAACCAAGAAUCAAUCCCAAAAGGUCGGAGCGAGGCGAAAUUGGCUUUCAAACUAGGUUCUGGGUUCACACAAGACCUGAAUCAGGAACAAGGGCUAUUAGCUCAGGUGGUUAGAGCGCACCCCUGAUAAGGGUGAGGUCCCUGGUUCGAGUCCAGGAUGGCCCACCUGCACAGGUGGCAAAAACAAGAGAAGCGAGGAAUCAGCACCUUAUCUUAUCUAUAUAUAUAUAGGAGAGAAUGCUGGCUCUGAGUAAAGAGUCCAGAGGAACCUUGAAAACUGCAUAGAGCUAGGUGAAAAAGCCAAAAAAGAAGACCGCAA